RNAcentral lists this transfer RNA (71 nucleotides) under Loxodonta africana (African savanna elephant). It matches the Rfam family "tRNA". From Rfam's summary of the family: Transfer RNA (tRNA) molecules are approximately 80 nucleotides in length. Their secondary structure includes four short double-helical elements and three loops (D, anti-codon, and T loops). The record is from Rfam by way of RNAcentral. Lineage: Eukaryota; Metazoa; Chordata; Mammalia; Proboscidea; Elephantidae.
GCAGUGGAGGUUCAGUGCUAGAAUUCUCACCUUCCAUGCAGGAGACCUGGGUUCAAUUCCUGGCCAAUGCA